CCUCCAUAGCCCCCAACAUACCUGCUUGUGCCCUCCUCUCUCCACUGGUAUCACAAACAGAAACAUCAAUCUGCCUUUGUUUUGCCAGAGGGGCAAGGCUGUGGAACCCCAGAAGACAGGCCUCUGAGAGGACCCGGGUCACCCGGACCUGGACUCAAAUCCCAUCCCUGUACCUCUCCUUGGAUGAACCAUCGAACACUGAGCUUCCAUUUUGCAUCUUCCAACUGCACAGAGAAGCAAGCGGAGGCCUGAUGUGGAACUAAUGGGGCUCUGCGUCAUGGGCAACUAAACCUGGAGGGGGCACCGUGCCCGGUUCUCCCAGAGAAGAGAAGAAGGACUGGGCAGACAGCUCUCCAUCUCUCUGUGGAGGCCUCCCCUCCCACUUCCUUCCCCAACACCCCACCUCCACCUGCUGCUUCCAACCCCCAGCCCUGUUGGUUCUAGAAAGUUUGGUUGUUAUCCAGCAGGAGGAUGAGGACUGG
This 482-nucleotide long non-coding RNA is filed under the name Homo sapiens (human). RNAcentral's name for it is "HSALNT0305472". The record is from RNAcentral. Lineage: Eukaryota; Metazoa; Chordata; Mammalia; Primates; Hominidae.